UUGUCCUUGAAAACAGGUGCUACGUGAGCCACCUGGUGCUGAUGACUGGCAUGUCGUGCAGGCUUCCUCUGAACAGAGGGUCUUCUAUGUUUAGGCUGAGACUGCACAGCAUGUGCUUCCCCUUCUUUCCUCUUAAACGCCCCAUAUCGUUUAGAAGAAGAACCAUCGUCCUUGGCCAACCGUCCUUCACGGACACCUUCUUCAAGACGCAUCCCCAUGUUCACCA
This 226-nucleotide long non-coding RNA is filed under the name Lathyrus oleraceus (garden pea). Its description in RNAcentral is "Pisum sativum (pea) long non-coding RNA (PSAT_LNC005454)". The record is from RNAcentral. Lineage: Eukaryota; Viridiplantae; Streptophyta; Magnoliopsida; Fabales; Fabaceae.